RNAcentral lists this long non-coding RNA (222 nucleotides) under Lathyrus oleraceus (garden pea). RNAcentral's name for it is "Pisum sativum (pea) long non-coding RNA (PSAT_LNC004459)". Lineage: Eukaryota; Viridiplantae; Streptophyta; Magnoliopsida; Fabales; Fabaceae. The record is from RNAcentral.
AAAGUCACUCUGAUACGUGGCACCGGCGUUCUGCUUCUCUAGAGGACAGUCUUCUCUCCAUGGUAGCUUGUGCACCACGACAUCGAUAUCCAACCCUGGCAUAUCCUGACACGACCAGGCGAAGGUAUCCACAUGCUCUUUCAACAGGGCUACCAUUCUGCUCUCGACUCGCCUCUGAAGCGGCCCCAAUUUUCACUUCCUUUCCGACCUCGGUGGUGCCUG